RNAcentral lists this transfer RNA (57 nucleotides) under Camelus bactrianus (Bactrian camel). It matches the Rfam family "tRNA". Rfam says of the family: Transfer RNA (tRNA) molecules are approximately 80 nucleotides in length. Their secondary structure includes four short double-helical elements and three loops (D, anti-codon, and T loops). Further hydrogen bonds mediate the characteristic L-shaped molecular structure. tRNAs have two regions of fundamental functional importance: the anti-codon, which is responsible for specific mRNA codon recognition, and the 3' end, to which the tRNAs corresponding amino acid is attached (by aminoacyl-tRNA synthetases). tRNAs cope with the degeneracy of the genetic code in two manners: having more than one tRNA (with a specific anti-codon) for a particular amino acid; and 'wobble' base-pairing, i.e. permitting non-standard base-pairing at the 3rd anti-codon position. RNAcentral also lists the same sequence under 2 other names. The record is from Rfam by way of RNAcentral. Lineage: Eukaryota; Metazoa; Chordata; Mammalia; Artiodactyla; Camelidae.
GAGGGUGUAGCUCAGUGGUAGAGUGCGAGAUCCUGGGUUCGAUCCCCAGUACCUCCA